This 976-nucleotide ribosomal RNA is filed under the name uncultured eukaryote. RNAcentral describes it as "SSU rRNA". It matches the Rfam family "Eukaryotic small subunit ribosomal RNA", at positions 122 to 1118 of the family's 1831-position model. The record is from RNAcentral.
UGAUAUCGAAUUUACAUGGAUAACCGUGGUAAUUCUAGAGCUAAUACAUGCUGGUAGGCCCGACUUUUGCGGAAGGGCGGUAUUUAUUAGAUAACAAGCCAAUAUUCCUCUGGUCUAUUGUGGUGACUCAUAAUAACUGAUCGAAUCGCAAGGCCUUUGGCCGCGAUAAGUCAUUCAAGUUUCUGCCCCAUCAGCUUUCGAUGGCAGUGUAUUGGACUACCAUGGCGUUUACGGGUAACGGAGGAUUAGGGUUCGAUUCCGGAGAGGGAGCCUGAGAAACGGCUACCACAUCUAAGGAAGGCAGCAGGCGCGUAAAUUACCCAAUCCUGACUCAGGGAGGUAGUGACAAGAAAUAACGGACCGAGGCCUUCGGGCUUCGGGAUUGGAAUGAGCCGAAUUUACACCCCUUAGCGAAGAUCGAUUGGAGGGCAAGUCUGGUGCCAGCAGCCGCGGUAACUCCAGCUCCAAUAGCGUAUAUUAAAGUUGUUGCAGUUAAAAAGCUCGUAGUUGGAUUUCUGGGAGGGUGCCGAUGUCCACUUAACGUGUGCGCAGCGGCGCCCUCUCAUCCUUCUGUUAGCGUCACUUGGCAUUCAUUUGCUGGUGGCGGGCUCAGAUAUUUUACCUUGAGAAAAUUAGAGUGUUUCAGGCAGGCUAGGCCGGAAUACAUUAGCAUGGAAUAAUGGAAUAGGACUACGGUCUCUUUGUUGGUUUGAGGGACUGCAGUAAUGAUUAAUAGGGAUAGUUGGGGGCAUUAGUACUUAACUGCCAGAGGUGGAAUUCUCAGAUUUGUUAAGAACUGACUUAUGCGAAAGCAUUUGCCAAGGAUGUUUUCAUUAAUCAAGAACGAAAGUUAGGGGAUCAAAGACGAUCAGAUACCGUCCUAGUCUUAACCAUAAACUAUGCCGACUCGGGAUUGGGGGCGUGUUCUAUCCGCCUUCAGCACCGUAUGAGAAAUCAAAGUCUUUGGGGUUCUGGG